UGGGGAAUAUUGGACAAUGGGGGAAACCCUGAUCCAGCCAUGCCGCGUGGAUGAAGAAGGCCCUAGGGUUGUAAAGUCCUUUCGUUGGUGAAGAUAAUGACGGUAACCAAAGAAGAAGCCCCGGCUAAUUACGUGCCAGCAGCCGCGGUAAUACGAAAGGGGCUAGCGUUGUUGGGAAAUACUGGGCGUAAUGCGCACGUAGGCGGCCUGCCAAGUUGGGGGUGAAAUCCCGGGGCUCAACCCCGGAACUGCCUCCAAAACUGGUAAGCUAGAGGAUGCGAGAGGAUAGUGGAAUUCCGAGUGUAGAGGUGAAAUUCGUAGAUAUUCGGAAGAACACCAGUGGCGAAGGCGACUGUCUGGCGCAUUUCUGACGCUGAGGUGCGAAAGCGUGGGGAGCAAACAGGAUUAGAUACCCGUGUAGUCC
Molecule: ribosomal RNA, 424 nt
Filed under: uncultured prokaryote
Description: bacterial SSU rRNA
Rfam family: Bacterial small subunit ribosomal RNA
Source: RNAcentral